RNAcentral lists this ribosomal RNA (497 nucleotides) under uncultured bacterium. RNAcentral's name for it is "partial 16S ribosomal RNA". It matches the Rfam family "Bacterial small subunit ribosomal RNA", at positions 28 to 507 of the family's 1533-position model. The record is from RNAcentral.
GACGAACGCUGGCGGCGUGCCUAAUACAUGCAAGUUGAGCGCUGAAGGUUGGUACUUGUACCGACUGGAUGAGCAGCGAACGGGUGAGUAACGCGUGGGGAAUCUGCCUUUGAGCGGGGGACAACAUUUGGAAACGAAUGCUAAUACCGCAUAAAAACUUUAAACACAAGUUUUAAGUUUGAAAGAUGCAAUUGCAUCACUCAAAGAUGAUCCCGCGUUGUAUUAGCUAGUUGGUGAGGUAAAGGCUCACCAAGGCGAUGAUACAUAGCCGACCUGAGAGGGUGAUCGGCCAAAUUGGGACUGAGACACGGCCCAAACUCCUACGGGAGGCAGCAGUAGGGAAUCUUCGGCCAUGGACGAAAGUCUGACCGAGCAAAGCCGCGUGAGUGAAGAAGGUUUUCGGAUCGUAAAACUCUGUUGGUAGAGAAGAACGUUGGUGAGAGUGGAAAGCUCAUCAAGUGACGGUAACUACCCAGAAAGGGACGGCUAACUACGUG